GACGAACGCUGGCGGCGCGCUUAACACAUGCAAGUCGAACGGAAAGGCCUGCUUUCCCUUGUGGAUUGCGGGUACUCGAGUGGCGAACGGGUGAGUAACACGUGAGUGAUCUGCCCCCAACUUGGGUAUAAGCCUGGGAAACUGGGUCUAAUUCCCGAUAGGACUGCAGGGUGGUGCCUGUGGUGGAAAACGAUUUUCUAGUGGUUGGGGAUGAGCUCGCGGCCUAUCAGCUUGUUGGUGGGGUAAUGGCCUACCAAGGCGGCGACGGGUAGCCGGCCUGGGAGGGUGGACGGCCACAUUGGGACUGAGAUACGGCCCAGACUCCUACGGGAGGCAGCAGUGGGGAAUAUUACACAAUGGGCGGAAGCCUGAUGCAGCGACGCCGCGUGGGGGAUGACGGCCUUCGGGUUGUAAACUCCUUUCGACCGCGAGGAAGCCACCUGGUUGGAAGGGUGGUGACGGUAGUGGUAGAAGAAGCACCGGCUAACUACGUG
Molecule: ribosomal RNA, 494 nt
Filed under: uncultured bacterium
Lineage: Bacteria
Description: partial 16S ribosomal RNA
Rfam family: Bacterial small subunit ribosomal RNA
Source: RNAcentral